GGAAGUGUGGUAACGCAUGGAGCUGACUGUUACUAAUCGGUCGAGGCUUUAACCAAA
This 57-nucleotide ribosomal RNA is filed under the name Anaerostipes hadrus. RNAcentral describes it as "partial 23S ribosomal RNA". The record is from RNAcentral. Lineage: Bacteria; Bacillati; Bacillota; Clostridia; Lachnospirales; Lachnospiraceae.